UGGCUAAGGGUCUUGACCAGUGGGGCACUGAAGAAGCGAGCCACACCUCCAUCGUACGCCCUGCGAGGAGGAAAUUGCCACAGUCACCUCAACCUUCAGCAACCACCAACUUGAUCAAUCAGCAGCCAAUAACGUGAAGUCAUGACCAUUCACCAGCAAAAAGUUUAUGAUUCACCAAAAUAUUAGAUGAUCAUUAACAUUUUUAGCAAUAAUGUAUUUGUCAUUAAGGUGUUAGUGCAUUGGAAAAUCAUUUAAAGAAUGUAUCAGCUAAUUGAAGGCUUAUGUCUGAAGUUCCUGUAUCUGCCUACGAUCCAGACCCACCAAGGAGGACGACAGUGUUUUUCUUUUCUUCCCCUCCACGUUAUCUCAUUAUCUGUAGCAGAAAAGAAGACCAAGAUGUGGCUACACCCGAGCAGACCUUUUUCCAUGUAUAAAGACUGUCUCAAAGGAUCAUUUAAAUUUCACGAACUAUUUACAAGUUAAUAGUUUGAUUGUUCCUGGACCCAAUUAUUCUCCCUAUCAAUCAUUUAAAAUCAAUUUUAACAUUGUGGUAGUAGAAUUUUUUCCUUUAACUGAUAUUAUAUUAAAACAUUCCACAAUUGAACACGUAUUAACUCUUAAGUAUGUAUAGCCUCCCGUGACCAUUUGUGUAUGAAAUCCAUUCAAACCAUACAAUAUCACAAUCUAAAUCUUUUUACUUACAGUCAUGUUAUAAUACUCUGGAUUUAAGUCUUACUUUUUAUGGUUUACAUAUCAUACUCUGUAGAAUAGCUAAGCAUAUUAUUAGAAAUGAGACUUUUGUGCAAUUUUCACCCACAUUCGAUUUAUAGACAAACUGAUAUUCUUUUCACACAGCAAAAGAAUUCAGCCUGGCAUCUUUAGGAAAUGAAAAACUGGUUGCCAGAGGGAAGGAACCUAAAUUUUUUCAAUGUGGUUAUUAUAUAUAUUGUAGGCCAGGCCUUUUUCCCAAGUAAGGAGAAGGGGAGACUCAUAUAUAUAUAUUUUUAUUUUUAAUAAAAAUUUGACUUGGGAAAUUUAUGAAUUUAUUUUAGUGACUCAG
Molecule: long non-coding RNA, 1060 nt
Filed under: Homo sapiens (human)
Lineage: Eukaryota; Metazoa; Chordata; Mammalia; Primates; Hominidae
Description: HSALNT0312687
Source: RNAcentral